RNAcentral lists this ribosomal RNA (301 nucleotides) under uncultured bacterium. Its description in RNAcentral is "partial 16S ribosomal RNA". It matches the Rfam family "Bacterial small subunit ribosomal RNA", at positions 509 to 807 of the family's 1533-position model. The record is from RNAcentral.
CAGUAGCCGCGGGAAUACAUAGGGUGCGAGCGUUAAUCGGAAUUACUGGGCGUAAAGCGUGCGCAGGCGGUUGUGCAAGACAGAUGUGAAAUCCCCGAGCUUAACUUGGGAACUGCAUUUGUGACUGCACGGCUAGAGUGUGUCAGAGGGGGGUAGAAUUCCACGUGUAGCAGUGAAAUGCGUAGAUAUGUGGAGGAAUACCGAUGGCGAAGGCAGCCCCCUGGGAUAACACUGACGCUCAUGCACGAAAGCGUGGGGAGCAAACAGGAUUAGAGACCCGCGUAGUCCCUGUCUCUUAUAC